CUCUUUUUGACACAGAAAUAAUAGUUCUUUCUAAGCCUGUUUCUUAACUUGUUUGGAGCUUCCACAAUUGCUUCAAGAAGCUUACCUGAAGAGUAAGACAGGAGGAGGCUGUCCUACAACACAACCUUACCUCCCACCCCUAAAGUUUUCUCCCUUCAGCACAGGCUUCAAAUGACUGUGCUGCUGUUAACCACCCUCUUAGUGCAUAAAAUUUGUUCUUCAUCGUAACUACAAAAGCUUGUUCUUCCCAGUAAAUACCUGUGCUAUAUUUUCAGAUACCUUCUCAUCAUUAGGUGGGCAUAGGUGUCAUUAUGGAAUGUGUCUGUGUUCCUAGAGUUGAACAGGUAUUCUCUUCAGUCAAAUACGAAGAACUUUGUAUACGUUCAGUAAUGCUGACCUGCGUUAAUACUUUUUAUUUUGGUUUACAGCCUGCGCAGGAUUGGUACAUGGCUCCUCACAUUGUCCUAGAGGUACUCCAAAUUCUUUUUGACAGAUGCUUAAGGAAGACGGAUCCAGACUAGCAUGUAAUUAAUGCUGGUGAUUCCACUCUGAUCCUUUUACUCCUGUAAUGUGCAUCCAUGGCUGAGGAGGAGAUAAUGGACCAUCACAAUCCAGAAUUUACCUGAGCUAACUGGAGGUGCGUGGCCAUACGCGUACGGGCACCGAAUCGCAGCGGUGGGUUGGCUCAGCACUUUGAAAUUCAGCAUCACUGGUGCUGGCUUUGGGAACAUGCCCACUGCCAUUCUUGCAGCUCAGAGAAGUCCUGCACUGCCCAAAUGUUCACUUUGGAGGUUGUUCUGCGUUGGUCCUGUGGUACCAGCACAUUUUGUGGUUUGGACUGCCUUCCACUUGUGAUCUGCUAUAAAUCCUCAAAGGCUCUUUGAACUGAAGGCGUACAAAGAGCUCAGAUACUGAAAUAUCUGACAGAGAACAGCUUUGGUUCUGCUCUGCUCUUGCCUUGCCCCUGUUAGGCUCCAGGCUGGGUUUUGUUUCUUCCUUUUGUUUUAGGAGCUGAUCACCCUGUUUGUGCUUCACUUAAAAGAUUCUUCUUAAAUCUGUAAUGCAGUUCUGAA
Molecule: long non-coding RNA, 1073 nt
Organism: Cygnus olor (mute swan)
Lineage: Eukaryota; Metazoa; Chordata; Aves; Anseriformes; Anatidae
Exons: 4
Source: RefSeq, a predicted model, not a curated record